RNAcentral lists this ribosomal RNA (253 nucleotides) under uncultured bacterium. Its description in RNAcentral is "partial 16S ribosomal RNA". It matches the Rfam family "Bacterial small subunit ribosomal RNA", at positions 524 to 776 of the family's 1533-position model. The record is from RNAcentral.
UACGUAGGGGGCGAGCGUUGUCCGGAGUUACUGGGCGUAAAGGGCACGCAGGCGGUGCGGCGCGUUUCGCGUGACAGCGGGUGGCUCAACUACCCGAGGAUGCGAAAGACGGCGGCACUUGAGGGCCAGAGAGGGACACGGAAUUCCGGGUGGAGUGGUGAAAUGCGUAGAUAUCCGGAGGAACACCGGUGGCGAAGGCGGCUUCCUGGACCGACACUGACGCUGAGGCGCGAAAGCUAGGGGAGCAAACGGG